RNAcentral lists this ribosomal RNA (468 nucleotides) under uncultured bacterium. RNAcentral describes it as "partial 16S ribosomal RNA". It matches the Rfam family "Bacterial small subunit ribosomal RNA", at positions 28 to 507 of the family's 1533-position model. The record is from RNAcentral.
GACGAACGCUGGCGGCGUGCUUAACACAUGCAAGUCGAACGGAAAGGCCCUGCUUUUGUGGGGUGCUCGAGUGGCGAACGGGUGAGUAACACGUGAGUAACCUGCCCUUGACUUUGGGAUAACUUCAGGAAACUGGGGCUAAUACCGGAUAGGAGCUCCUGCUGCAUGGUGGGGGUUGGAAAGUUUCGGCGGUUGGGGAUGGACUCGCGGCUUAUCAGCUUGUUGGUGGGGUAGUGGCUUACCAAGGCUUUGACGGGUAGCCGGCCUGAGAGGGUGACCGGCCACAUUGGGACUGCGACACGGCCCCGACUCCUACGGGAGGCAGCAGUGGUGACUAUUGCACACUGGGCGGAAGCCUGAUGCAGCCACGCCGCGUGCGGGAUGACGGCCUUCGGGUUGUAAACCGCUUUCGCCUGUGACGAAGCGUGAGUGACGGUAAUGGGUACAGAAGCACCGGCUAACUCCGUG